Molecule: transfer RNA, 73 nt
Filed under: Pseudoalteromonas sp. LC2018020214
Lineage: Bacteria; Pseudomonadati; Pseudomonadota; Gammaproteobacteria; Alteromonadales; Pseudoalteromonadaceae
Description: tRNA-Cys
Rfam family: tRNA
About the family: Transfer RNA (tRNA) molecules are approximately 80 nucleotides in length.
Source: RNAcentral
GGCGGAAUGGCAGAGUGGCCAUGCACCGGAUUGCAAAUCCGUUUACCCCGGUUCGACUCGGGUUCCGCCUCCA